This 254-nucleotide ribosomal RNA is filed under the name uncultured bacterium. RNAcentral describes it as "partial 16S ribosomal RNA". It matches the Rfam family "Bacterial small subunit ribosomal RNA", at positions 524 to 776 of the family's 1533-position model. The record is from RNAcentral.
UACGAAGGGGGCUAGCGUUGCUCGGAAUGACUGGGCGUAAAGGGCGCGUAGGCGGAUGGCACAGUCAGAUGUGAAAUUCCCGGGCUUAACCUGGGGGGCUGCAUUUGAUACGUGUGAUCUAGAGUGAGGAAGAGGGUCGUGGAAUUCCCAGUGUAGAGGUGAAAUUCGUAGAUAUUCGCAAGAACACCAGUGGCGAAGGCGGCUCACUGGCCCGAUACUGACGCUGAGGCACGAAAGCGUGGGGAGCAAACAGG